RNAcentral lists this ribosomal RNA (109 nucleotides) under Prolemur simus (greater bamboo lemur). Lineage: Eukaryota; Metazoa; Chordata; Mammalia; Primates; Lemuridae. The record is from RNAcentral.
UUCCAGGGCCGUACCACCCUGAACACACCCAAUCUCAUCUGAUCUCAGAAGCUAGGCAGGGGCUGGCUUGGUUAGUACUUGGGUGGGAGGAGAGUUGGUGCCUUAUUCU